This 1416-nucleotide long non-coding RNA is filed under the name Canis lupus familiaris (dog). RNAcentral's name for it is "lncRNA (ENSCAFG00040025026.1)". The record is from RNAcentral. Lineage: Eukaryota; Metazoa; Chordata; Mammalia; Carnivora; Canidae.
AUGGGGGCAUUGUGGGGGGACUACCUGGGUGAGGGGCACCUGGGUGCAGGGGAGGCUGCUGGGAGUGGGGGGCUACCUGGGUGGGGGCACCUGGGCGCAGGGGAGGCCGCUGGGAUUAGAGGGGGACUACCUGGGUGGGGGCACCUGGGCUCAGGAGAGGCCGCUGGGAGUGGGGGGAGGCUACCUGAGUGGGGGGCACCUGGGCUCAGGAGAGGCUGCUGGGAGCUGGGGGACUACCUGGGUGGGGGGCACCUGGGCUCAGGAGAGGCCGCUGGGAGUGGGGGGGACUACCUGGGUGGGGGGCACCUGGGCGCAGGAGAGGCUGCUGGGAGUGGGGGGCUACCUGGGUGGGGGCAUCUGGGCGCAGGGGAGGCCGCUGGGAGUGGGGGAGGCUACCUGAGUGGGGGGCACCUGGGCUCAGGAGAGGCUGCUGGGAGCGGGGGGACUACCUGGGUGGGGGGCACCUGGGUUCAGGAGAGGCCGCUGGGAGUGGGGGGCUACCUGGGUGGGGGCACCUGGGCGCAGGAGAGGCCGCUGGGAGCAGGGGACUACCUGGGUGGGGGGCACCUGGGUUCAGGAGAGGCCGCUGGGAGUGGGGGGGGCUACCUGGGUGGGGGGCACCUGGGCGGGGGGCACCUGGGCGCAGGGGAGGCCGCUGGGAGCGGGGGGCUACCUGGGUGGGGGCACCUGGGCGCAGGGGAGGCCGCUGGGAAUGGCAGGGGGCUACCUGGGUGGGGGCACCUGGGCGCAGGAGAGGCCGCUGGUAGUGGGGGGGACUACCUGGGUGGGGGCACCUGGGCGCAGGGCAGGCGGAAGCCCGCUGGCCGGCAGGUCGCGGGGCGGGGGCCCCGCCUUUGUCUCCGCCGGCAGGUGUGGGUGCGGGCGGCGGGGGCACCGAAGCGCGGGGCGUGGAGGGGGCGUGGAGGGGGCGUGGAGGGGGCAGCCCGGGCGGGGCGGCGGGGGCCCACCUGGCAGCCUGGGUCCAGGAGGCCGGGCGCCGCCUCCCGCGGUGCGGGUCGGGGUCGGGGUGCGGGUCGGGGUGCGGGUCGGGGCCGGGUCGGGGGGGUUGCCGGGGGGCAGGAAGCGGCGGCCGGGCUGCGGGCCCCGGGGGCGCGGCGGCUUCCUCCCGGGCGGCGCGGAGGGCUCGGGGGCCGGAGCUCCGGGCCGGGCCCCCCCGCCCCCGCCCCCGCCCCCGCCCCGGACUCCUCACCACCCACCUACUUCCUCCGGCCCCGUACACGCGCCGCGCCGAGCUGCCAAAACUUUCCACCCCCGCCCCCUCCCCGGCUGACUUCCUUCCAGCGUUUCCUGAGCUGGAUGAUCCUCGGGUUUGUAAGACAGGAAAAAAGGGACGGCGCGAGGGCGGGCGGCCGAGGGGCCGGGAUGCUGGCUCCGCGCGCGCCCCGAGCCGUCUGA